This 521-nucleotide ribosomal RNA is filed under the name uncultured bacterium. RNAcentral describes it as "bacterial SSU rRNA". It matches the Rfam family "Bacterial small subunit ribosomal RNA", at positions 25 to 518 of the family's 1533-position model. The record is from RNAcentral.
CAGGACGAACGCUGGCGGCGUGCCUAAUACAUGCAAGUCGAACGGUCUUUCUAUGGAAGCUUGCUUCCACUGAGAAGAUAGUGGCGAACGGGUGAGUAACACGUGGGUAACCUGCCCAUAAGAGGGGGAUAACAUCCGGAAACGGGUGCUAAUACCGCAUAGUUUUCUUGAUCGCAUGAUUGAGAAAGGAAAGACGGCCUUUGUGCUGUCGCUUAUGGAUGGACCCGCGGCGUAUUAGUUAGUUGGUGAGGUAACGGCUCACCAAGACGAUGAUACGUAGCCGACCUGAGAGGGUGAUCGGCCACAUUGGGACUGAGACACGGCCCAAACUCCUACGGGAGGCAGCAGUAGGGAAUCUUCCGCAAUGGACGAAAGUCUGACGGAGCAACGCCGCGUGAGUGAAGAAAAGGUUUUCGGAUCGUAAAACUCUGUUGUCAGAGAAGAACAAGUUGGAGAGUAACUGCUCCAGCCUUGACGGUAUCUGACCAGAAAGCCACGGCUAACUACGUGCCAGCAGCCGC